RNAcentral lists this long non-coding RNA (285 nucleotides) under Setaria viridis. RNAcentral describes it as "long non-coding RNA (SVIR_LNC001780)". The record is from RNAcentral. Lineage: Eukaryota; Viridiplantae; Streptophyta; Magnoliopsida; Poales; Poaceae.
GCGACUGAUGUGACUUGAUGUUGAUCACCACAUUUACACUGUUGUGACUUGAUGUUGAUCGCCUACUCAAGUGAGUGUUGGAUCCUUUGCACCGUGUUUUUAGGUUACUAUGCUAACUGGUAACAUUGGCAAAAACUCCAAGAACAAGAUAAAACUACUAACUGGUUACCAUUAAAACAUAAAAAGAACAAGUUCGACAACCGAAACAAAAGACCAGUUCAUUCAAUUGACAACAUUUACAUAUAAACUAGUUCGUGUGUCCCUUCCGCUCCUUCUCCGCCGCCG